Molecule: ribosomal RNA, 347 nt
Filed under: uncultured bacterium
Lineage: Bacteria
Description: partial 16S ribosomal RNA
Rfam family: Bacterial small subunit ribosomal RNA
Source: RNAcentral
CCUACGGGUGGCAGCAGUGAGGAAUAUUGGUCAAUGGGCGCGAGCCUGAACCAGCCAAGUAGCGUGAAGGAUGACGGCACUACGGGUUGUAAACUUCUUUUAUAAAGGAAUAAAGUGAGGCACGUGUGCCGUGUUGUAUGUACUGUAUGAAUAAGGAUCGGCUAACUCCGUGCCAGCAGCCGCGGUAAUACGGAGGAUCCGAGCGUUAUCCGGAUUUAUUGGGUUUCAAGGGAGCGGAGAUGGGUUGUUAAGUCAGUUGUGCAAGUUUGCGGCUCAACCGUAAAAUUGCAAUUGAUACUGGCAGCCUUGUGUACAGUUGAGGUAGGCGGCAUUCGUGGUGUAGCGGU